ACGAUGCGUAGCCGACCUGAGAGGGUGAUCGGCCACACUGGGACUGAGACACGGCCCAGACUCCUACGGGAGGCAGCAGUAGGGAAUCUUCCGCAAUGGACGAAAGUCUGACGGAGCAACGCCGCGUGAGUGAUGAAGGUUUUCGGAUCGUAAAGCUCUGUUGUUAGGGAAGAACAAGUACCGUUCGAAUAGGGCGGUACCUUGACGGUACCUAACCAGAAAGCCACGGCUAACUACGUGCCAGCAGCCGCGGUAAUACGUAGGUGGCAAGCGUUGUCCGGAAUUAUUGGGCGUAAAGGGCUCGCAGGCGGUUUCUUAAGUCUGAUGUGAAAGCCCCCGGCUCAACCGGGGAGGGUCAUUGGAAACUGGGGAACUUGAGUGCAGAAGAGGAGAGUGGAAUUCCACGUGUAGCGGUGAAAUGCGUAGAGAUGUGGAGGAACACCAGUGGCGAAGGCGACUCUCUGGUCUGUAACUGACGCUGAGGAGCGAAAGCGUGGGGAGCGAACAGGAUUAGAUACCCUGGUAGUCCACGCCGUAAACGAUGAGUGCUAAGUGUUAGGGGGUUUCCGCCCCUUAGUGCUGCAGCUAACGCAUUAAGCACUCCGCCUGGGGAGUACGGUCGCAAGACUGAAACUCAAAUGAAUUGACGGA
RNAcentral lists this ribosomal RNA (651 nucleotides) under Bacillus sp. (in: firmicutes). Its description in RNAcentral is "bacterial SSU rRNA". It matches the Rfam family "Bacterial small subunit ribosomal RNA", at positions 276 to 917 of the family's 1533-position model. The record is from RNAcentral. Lineage: Bacteria; Bacillati; Bacillota; Bacilli; Caryophanales; Bacillaceae.